UUGCUCAAGGGAUCCGUUAUCCAUAUAUUCAUAAAUUAGCAAAUGAAGGCCUCUCUUUGAAUAAGAACCUAACAGUUUAACAAGAUUCUGAUUUUCCAACUUAGACAAUGCAAAAACCUCUGCUCUUAUUUCUGCAGCUGCCUUUGAUUGAGGGAAAAGCUUCUUCACCGCUAAGGUCAAAUUUGACAGUUGAGCCUAUAAUAUGGAUAAUGGAAGGAGAAGAAGAAGAGAAGAAGAAGAAAAGAAAAAGAAGAAUUAAUAUAUGGACAUGAGUAAUUAUUGCCAACAUAAAAAACAAAACAAAGUUCAACCCUGUGGACUAUCCCAAAACGACCAUCCUUGCCAAUCUUCAUUUUUGGGCUGAAAUUCUUAGUGGCGUCAAUUAUCUCUUUAAUACUGUAAGAAUCCGUUCCAAAAUUUAUGCGUGUUUCUGUAUUCCGUUGCAAGAAUCAAAUCAAAUAAGUUAAUGAACAAUUCUUUGUAAAAUUGAUGAACAAUAUUGAGGGAUGGAUGUUCUUACUGUGCAGCUCUCGGUUUCCUAUCCAUCCCAUUCUCCACAAGAAAGCUAACAAAAUGAACAGAGAAAGAACGCAAGCUAUUGCAAUUGCAACAAUUUCCCAAGCUGAUAAUUUUCUUGGAGCUAAAUAAUCCAAAAUGCAGUAGCAGUUAUUAAGUGUAAAAAAUAAUGUUAGAUCAAAUAGAGGCCAAUGAAAAAAAAAAGUUCAACAUUAUACCCCGAGUUAUAGAAAUAGCUGAAAUGAGAGGACCAUUUUGACCCCAAACAGAUCCCUUGCCAACCCAGAAGAAGUCUAAUUGCAGAGCUUCAUUGUUAGGUACUGUAGCCGUAAAAGUUUUUAGAAUGUUCUUAUUGGCACCUCCAGCCUCUUUCUUGAUGUUGAAAUCCUGUAAUACUCUCUCUCCCUGUAAUCAAAAUCAAGACCUCUACAUAUGACCAUUCACUUAAUUUAUAUGAGAAAAUUAAUAAUUUCAAUCCCUUCAUUACAAAAUUACCUGAAUAUAUACAUCAAAAAUGCGUUUGGCCACUAUGCUGUGAUCUUCCUUCUUAGAAAAUAAAGUUUCAGCAAAAUAAAGUUUGACCUCGUAUUUGCCUUUACACAAGCAGAAGGCAUAAUAGGUGAGAGAGACAGGAGCAACACGGGCAUUGGCAUAUAACUGUUCCUCAGGAAUUGAAACUCCACCUCUUAAGUCCUUUAUGUAAUCACCUGAAUUGAAAAAUGUUGUGACAAAGCCUCCAGAAAAGCUAUAAGCCCAAUUUCCUUGCGGACUUUCGUAAAAUUUUGACAAUUAAGUAUCAUUUUCGUAGUUUUGUCCGUCAAAUUUCACCGCCUAGCCACCGCAGUUUAUAGACAAGUAGUGAUCUGCAAGAAUCAUUAUUAAGUAAUUAAUGAAUAUUUACCAAGUGCAAGACUUGAUAUUAAGAACAAUUCUAUGUUUUAUUUGAAAGAACUGAACACGAAAUAAUAUUAUAACAAAAAUGAUUUUAUUUUCUUAUUUGGUUCACAAAGAAUUCAAACAUUCAAAUAUAUAGGUUGUACAGAAGUAAACGUACACUUCAUAGGGCAUUCUUUUUCUUUUCGAGAUAUGUACUCACUGAAAAACAAACAAAUUUAUAAUGAGAAGUGUGGAGGGGUGUGUAUAUCUAUAUAAAUGUGUGUGUGCGUAAAACAUACCUGUUCGGCUGACUGAAUAUCCACCAGCAACAUGCAAAUAGUAGGCAAAAAAGCAAGGUGAGAUGGGAAAAUUUUACAUUGUCCCAAAACAAAAAAUUGAGAGCGAGAUACGUUUUUAAUAAAACUCUUACAUAAUAAUCCAAUUUGGGGAACGCAAAAGUGUUCCAUUUUUAUGGUUCACGUUGGGAACAUUUCUCAAAUCAUUGAAUGAAAGAUCCCUGUCAGGCAACAACGCGUUAGAAACAGAAAUUUUGUUUCUAAAAGUUAUAUCCGUUUAUAAAUCUAUUUAGAAACAGAUCCAUAUCAAUGCUAAUUCAGAAACAUAAAAUUCGCUUUGUAAAUGAUAUAAUUCUAUUACUAAUUUUUGUAUUUAUUUUUCCAUCCAUAGCUAAAUUCGUUGUCACGUCAUGUCUUUCUAAAUUCUUGAGAAUUAAAAUGCUGAAAUUUUCUUUGAACCAAAAAAAAAAAAAAAUGCUGAAUUUUUCUGGUAGUGGCGCGCCUCACACAUAUAAAAAAUCACUAAUAAUAUACUAAAUACUCUUAUAGUAAUAUAAAAGCAUGCAACAUGAAGUUUUCCUUGAAUUUAUUAUUAUUAUUAUUAUUAUUAUUACUUAUAUACUUACACUUCAAGUGGUCCAUAAGAUGCAACCGUUGAAUUACUGAUCCAUGAAGGAAACGUUCCAUUAAGCUUAUUUCUUGCUAAAUAUCUAUAAAAAAAAGCAUUAAAUUAAAGUAAUAAAAUUAAGGAGCAUAUUUAUGAAUUUUGCCAUGAUUAGUCUAUAUUCCUAUGUGAUGGACUUAAUUAAUUUAAAAUUAUAUAAAUUAGUUAACAUGAGAAAGUCCGUCACGUACAACGUUUGUAGAUUUGAACCAAAUUGUGGGAUUUCACCAAUCAAGUUGUUGAAGCUCAAAUCAUUGCAGGAAAAAACCAUAAAACAUUACAAAAGAAAAUAGCUUUAUGUUCUAAAAUCUUGUUUACAAAAUUCUUCAUUUUUGUGAAUUUAAGCUUAUUUUUUCUAAUUAAAAACCAUAUUAAGACAUUUUGUAAUUUCAGCAUUGUACUAAAAUUAAAAUUAGAAUUUUUCAUAUAAAGUAAGAAUAAGAAAAUCAAAUUUUACUCGGGGCAAAUUGAAUAUUUAAAAGAUGAAAAGUUAUUUCUUUAUAAGCAUACACAUAUCGCUCUAGAUAAAUUUUUUCCACCUUUACGCAUAAUUCGCAUCCUCUUCGCCUAUAAAUAGCCAUAUAGAGAUGGACAACUCAAACCAUCUCACCAAAAAUAUCCAAAGCAAUUCAUUUGCUUUGUAAAACUGAGGUUCAAAGCAAAUUGCUUUCAACUGGAGAAAAGAAAGAGUGCUAGAGAAUAAAAAAUAAAAAAUGAGAUUUGUAUGAGUUAUUGUAAUUAGUGUAAGUGUGGUACUGCAAUGUGUGAGAGUAAAAGAGAGAUGAAAAAAAAAUUUUAAGUUGAAGCUCAACUUGAGGCUCGAUUUUAAAUCGAAAAAUUUUAAGCUCAAGUUCAAUUCGAUGCUCAAAUAAAUUUAAAAUAAAUAUUAUAUAUAUGUAUAUAUAAAAGUUCAAUAAGACUUGAUGAGUUUUUAAACUAAACAUCAAUAAAAUUGAGCUCUGCUCGUUUGUUAAUGAGCCGACUCGAAUCCAACCGAACUUUUUCAAACAUUUAUGCUGAAUAGCUUGUGAGCUGGCUUGUCUACACCCCCCUCGGGAGACUCAAAAUAAGCUAACACUCAUUGAAAUAAUACUUACAUAUCUACCAAUCCAGGCCAUUGAGCAAUAUACGAAGGUAUCGUGCCAUUAAUUGAGCAAUUCCUAAGUACCCUGCAUACGUCAUUCAAGAAGUUGAUGAAUAACUUCAUCUGUAUGUAAAGCUCUUCAGUGUGCUUUUUAUUACUUCUAUUUUAAUAUUCUACUCCUUCCUGUUCAUUUAUUUGAACAAAAUUUUUAACUGGAUGUUUGAUUUAAUUAGACAAACUUACUAAAUUUAGACUAAGAACAAAGUAUCAAAUUCAUAUUACCCUUUAUUUAGCUUUCUUUAUUGCAUUAAAAAUAUGAAAAUUACAAGAAAGCAGCAGACAAUCGGGUUGUGGUUUUGUUGGUUUUCUCACUUAUAUGAGGAGUAAUUAAUAGAUAUCGAAUUCGAGUUCUCUCCAUCAUAGUUGCACUUUUAUCUUUUCUUAAUAAUCAAUCCAAUUUCUCUUUUGCUGAUAAAAAAAAAAAGUACUCACAAAGACUCUAAGUUUGUUAAGUUUGCUUGCUGCGGGAAAGUAAUACCAGGAUUCCUUAGUCCAGUAACCGAUCUGAAACCAAAAAAUCUCGUCUUAGAAAGCUUUAACCAGUUUAUUUUGAACUACUGGCCUCCCCAUGUAUAAAAAACAAAAAGAAAGAAAGCAUUAACCAGAAAACGCGAAAGCUUCAAUUGUUCCUUCCAAAUGAAAUUAUGAAAAGAAGUAGGUAUUCAGUGACCGCACGUACAAUGUAAAAAGCUUUGGAAGUUUAAAAAUCCCUUCUGAUAGAUUCCCUUCAAAAUUAUUUCCCAUAAGCUGCCUGACAAUUUUAUAAUAGUACAAACAAUAUCAGAUCAAGAUAAAUUUUUUUUUUUCAUUUUAAAUAAUAAUAUUCAACAUUUUGAAUCUUUAUUUAUUUAUAUCAAAAUAAAUUCUUAGAAAUACUUACAGAUGAGUGAGGUUCUCCCAAUUUGCAAUGUAAUCCGGUAUAAAACCAGACAAAUUGUUUCCAGAUAGUUCACUGCAUUGCAUUGAAUCACAGUUUUGGAACUUAAAAUAUUUUUACAAAUAUUUGACAUCAAAAGACCCCUUUAAAAAAAUUGAGAAUAAUAAUAAAAUAAACAACUUUGAACUAAAACAAGCUAAAAUUAUUUCAAUUCUUUAGGCGACAAAUUGCCUAUUUCUUUUUCAACUUUGCUUUAAAAAUAAAAUAAUGUUUAAGGAUGACUUACAACUUUUCGAGUCGUUUAAGUUGAGAAUAAGUCUGUGGAAUGUUCCCAAUAAGAUAGUUGGAUCUCAAGGAGCUAUAACCAUAAAAUUUCAGAAAAUCGCAAUAUAAGCAAUAUAAUUUAUAAAUCAUAUAUCGAUUUGACUAAUUUAAUAUUUAAUUCUAUAUUUUAAUAGAUAAAUAAUAACAGGAAUUCUUGUGUUUUUAUUAUUCCCUCAUAUUUACUUUUACUCAUUGGUUUGUAACUUUAAUUGUAUUUAGUUUGAUUUUUAUAUUUAUUUCUAAUUAGGUUUAGAUUAGUAAUUUUAUUCCUAAUUAGUUUAAAUUUUCUACUCUAUAAAUACUCCUUUAUCCAACAUUCUAAAUAAAGUAUUUCAAUUAGAAUAUUAGAAUUUUCUCUUCCAUAAAGUUAUGUUUAUUUUAUUUAUCACUUAAAUAAAACUUACAAUGUUGCCAGAUUGCUCAAUUUUCCAAGACCUGGAGGAAGUGGACCGUUGAGUUCAUUUUCAUCCAAAAACCUGUUUUUUUUUUUUUUUUUUUUUUUUAAAAAAGGUUGGGAUAAAUUGGAUGGAGCUUAGGAUAUAUUGCAUGGAGUUAGAAAUAACGAAUAAAUAAAAAUAAAAAUAAAAAAGCUUCAUACAAAGACCAAAGUUGCGUGAGGUUUCCCAGUUCGUCAGGAAUUGGGCCUGAUAACAUGUUAUCGUCAAGAAUCCUGCAAAGCCACAAUAUAUAUAUAUAUAUAUAUAUAUAUAUUUACAAUUAUAUUGCGCCGGAAAGAAAAGAAAAGAAAGAAAAAGAAAGGAAAGGGCCUUACAGGUACUGUAGCAAUGAGAGGUUACCAAAUGAUGCAGGUAUUUGCUGAUUGAAGAAGUUGAAGCUCAGAUCGCUAUUGCAGGGAGUUUUUAAACAGCAAUUACAAGGUAAAUUAAAUAUGCCAACCCAAAUGACUUUUAAAGUAUAAAUUUUAAAGACUCGUGGCUCAAUAAAAUUAGAGAUGUCAAAAUGGGUUCGCGUCUGGUUUGACACGAAUCCGCCCGACAUGAUUAAAAUCAAUACGAACACAACCCGUUGAAUAAUCGUAUCAAAUAUUUAAAUACAAACACGAUCUGUUUAUGACAUGGUCUAUUUAAACUCAACACUAACUCAUUUAAUUUUUAGUGAAUCGUGUUCUCAUAUCAUGAGAUAUUUUGACACCCUAAUAAGUUGAAUAAGUACUUACAGUGUAUUCAAAUUUUGCAAAUUGCCCAAGCUAGUGAUUGGACCAUCCAAGUAAUUGUUUGAAAGACGCCUAAUUUUGCACAAUUCUCAACUCAAUGUAAUUACACAGCAAAAUGUACAAUUGAAGAUAGAGUGAUAUAUAGGCUAACUUACAAUUCUUCGAGCAACUUUAAAUGUUGGAAGCUACUAGGAAUAGUACCAUCAAGCUGGUUGUUGCUCAAAUCUCUGAUUAGGUACAAUCACAAAUCACAAAUUUUAUUUGUUUUGUAGUCAGGUAAUACCAUUUAUUUAUAAAUAUAAAAUACAUAUAUGUCCUAGUUAAAUUUAUAAAUCUGCAAUACGUACAGAUUUUUGAGAUUAGUUAAAUUUCCCAGGCUUUUCGGUAGGGUUCCGGUCAAUUGAUGGCCAGAAAGAUCACUGAAUUUUAACCGAACAAAAUAUAUAUUAGAGAACCAUUGGCAUAUUGCUUGAUAUAGAUAUAAAUUAGAUAUAGAAUCAGAUGGAAGCUUACAGAAUUUGCAAGUAUUGAAGCCUACUUAUUGCGUCAUCAAUAGGACCACUUAGUGUACUCUUUAUAUUUCUGUCACCCAAAAUAAAUAGAUUUAACAUUAAUUUAACAUUAAUUACUUAAGCCCCUUGUUUGAGAACACAUAUAUAUCAAAUCAAUUAUCAAUGGUAUUUUGGCUCAAACGAGAGUAUUUCUGAUACUACGCGGAAAGGAACUCUAUGAACACUAUAGGACCAAAUGCCUAUUUUGCACAUUUUUCCAUAGGUAAAAGUUUCGGUACAGGUAGUUUUACGUUGCCUGAAAUGCCCAAAGACCUUGACCUCAAACUCAAAUAUACCAUACCCUUAUGUAUAUAGCAAGAUGAGCCUUUAUAAUCGGAUAAUAUGCUAAGACCUUCGAAGGAUGCAUGGCUGGCCUAGAUUACAAGCGGAGUUUAGGCACCACGCAGGUGUCAAAGGCUACGAAGCCUUAGACCCCAUGACAUUUGAGAAAAUAAAACAAUAAUUUUUUUUUAAAAGCCUUUUUUUUAUCGGCUUGGUAUUUAGCGGCGAAGCUAGAUCCAAAAUUAAAGGGGUCAAAGAAAAAUUUUCAAAAUUAAAAGGAGCCAAAAUCAAAGAAAAAAUCUUUUUGGACUAUUUUAUAGAGAAAAAAAAAAUGGAGUUUGGGGGGCCAGGCGCCCCUCAGUCCCCUCCCUCCGCCUCUGUUUGUAUAUAGAACCACCCACACACAGGAUGUAGACAAGUCUAUAAUUGACAAUAUAUAUCAGAAUUUGGAGACACAUACAUUUCAGUUAUGUGGCAAGUGAUGUUGCUCUUGGUAUCCUUGAACAUACAAUCACACCUUAUUUCCGCACCAGGCUCCAGAUUGCUGCUGUUUUGACAGUGUAAAGCAUCGAAGUAAGAUGUUGAUGGAAACCUGUUUAUGAAAGUUCUAAUGGCAUCCACUGUCAAGAAAAAGAAAACUCUGGUUAAGCCAAGCAUUACAUCAAACCAAACGGAACUUAAUUAAUCCAAAUACAGAAUAAUGAAAUGGUUAGCUAGCUAGGAGUAGAAUAUUAUAUGCAUGCAAGUUGGGUUUCGAUUCAUGAAAGAAAAGAAAAAUGCUAAAUGGAAUUGAGAAUUGUGCUUUUAGUUACAGAAGUUUACACUCAUAGCAAGGCAGAGUUUGAUUUCCGUCACAUUCCAUUUCAGAUUUUCCAGUAGAAAGCACACCAUAAAAACAAAUUACUACAAACGGGAGUUAAAAGAAAACAGAAAUGGUUAUUUAGCUAGUGGGAGCUAAUUCUUGAAAAAAAAAUUGAAACUUGAAAAUUGUGCUCACAGAAGUGUACCCAUUUUACAAUUAAGAUUAUACUCGGGACAUUGACAAUUAGAGUUAUAUCGGCCAGGACGACAGACAGGAGAAGCUCCAUAAACAAGUUUCCGAUGGAGAAGGAAAGUAAGGAUGGGGAUAAGUAUAGCCAUAACUGAAAGUUUCCUGCUCAUUAUUUCUUACUGCACAGCUUCUUUGCUUGGCUCGUUCUAUUACUCCAAAAUUUAUACAACAUCGAAAUCUAAAUGGCAAGUCUACCCUUGAGAUCCAUAAUUAUAAUUUUAUUUCUCUUUCUAUAUUAAUUAGUUUCUAAAUUUAAUUUCAUUGAAAUAUUUAGUCAUCUUAUUCAAAAAAUCUAAUUUAAAAGUUAAAUUUUAUUAAAUUAUGUUACUAUCUAUUCUUUUGCAACUAUUAUUAAAUUACUAUUUAGCCUAUCUCUUAACUACAAAAUGUUGUCUUUUGAACCGAGCUUGAUGGAGUUAAAUCUCAAAGAUUUUUUUUGAUUAUCGGAAAAGGAGACUUUAAAUCCGGAUCUAUUAUUGCUGGGUGGUAUAUGCACUUACUAUUAAGUUAUGACAUAGUGUACAGUUAAAUCUCAAAGAUUAACUAAUUAAUAUCUUUAAUUAGAAAUGAAAUUAUAAUUAUAAUUAAAUCUAAAGGACUAAAUAGCUACUUGCUCUUACUAUUUUCAUUUGAACUGGGUGAAUCAUGCCAUCUAACUAUUAACGGAAUCUUCUCCUUUUUAUUAUUUUUUUUCACCUUUUUUUAAGAAAAAAAAAAUUCAACCUCUAUAGAUUUUUUUUUUUAAAAUAAACCUCUAUGAUUGUUAGAUAUAUGGAUGCUUAGAAAACUUUCCACGUCUUGUUUUCAGCUUUUAGGAAAGUAAAAUAAAAUAUGAAAGCACCAAUUAACACAAUUCUACUUUAACUUAAAUAUUAAUAUUAAUACUUUAUUAAAGAAAAUUUUCAAACAUGAUGAUUUGAUUACUGUGUAUAACUCAUUCAAUGACUAAUGUAAUCAGGACAGUGAUUGGUAUGGCCGUAUGGGAAUAUCAGUGGGGUUGAUAAAUAAUUAAUUAGGUGUUUCUUUACAUUUUAUUUUAGUCGUUGUUGCAAUGAUAAUUUAAUGGAUAAAUAAACAUUUAAAAUAAAAAAAUAAAAUUUAACUUAAAAUAUAAAAUAAAUAAAAAUUUCAAAUCACCAAUUCACUUCUCAACUCCAUAAAAUUAAAUUUUCAUUUUGAUUAAAAAGUUGAUCAAGUUAAUGACGGCUAAACCUAAAAUUAAUAUAUAGAUUUCUUUUUUACCAUUAAUAUUCUGCUAUGUAUGUAAAUUAAUUAAAAUAUUAAAAUAAAAUAGUCAUCAUAUUGUAACAAUCUUUGUAAUCAUGAUUUUAAUAGUGAUUUGAAAUUUAUUAAAAUUAAUAUUUUAACACUAAAAACAAAAAAUUUUAAAUUAACUAAGAGAAACUAAAUUAAAACUUCAUUAACAAAAUGCGAGAAAUAAAAGUAAAAACUUUAUAUUUAGUCCUGCCAAAUAACUGAAUUUAAUCAUAAGAUUUCUAUUAUUUUAGGCAUAACCUUUACUUCAUUAACUCUAAAAUUCUACUCCCGCCGUCCCAAAAUAUAAGUCAUUUUUAUACGAUUAUUUUGUUUCAAAAUAUAAAUCGUUUUGAGUAUUUUAAAGAGUAAAAAAUGAUGUUUUUCCAAUGUUACCCUUAUUUAAAUUAGUUGCAAAUAAAUACUUUCACAAGUAACUAUUAGUUUGAGAUAAAUGAUAAUUUGGUCAAAUUACCCUUGAGUUUAUUAUAAUCUAAGAAAAUCAAUUGUUUUCUUAAUUCUUCUGCAACAAUUUUAAAUAACUUAUAUUUUGGGACAGAUAGAGUAUUAUUUUAACAUGAACUACAUAUAUAAGCCAUUAUAACUAUAGGGGAAAUGCACUUUCUCAUCAAGACCUAAACAGCCUUUGGCAAAAGUCAACAUAGUAAUCGGCAAGAAAUCUUUCUAUACAUACUAAUAGAUAAAAGCCAAAUAAUCAAUACCAUAAUAUUCUUAUUUAUAGAGUAAACUAGCAACAUGUUUGUGCUAUGCACAGUAAAUAUCUCUAUCUAUAAUUUUAAAAAUAUGGUGAUAAUAUUUUAAAAUAUAUAAUUUAAUUGAGAAAAAAUUUAUAAUUUAAAUUAUUUUUAAUUUCAUAUUUAUUAAUUUUGUUCAAAAUUAAUAAAUUAAAGAACAUAUAUUUCAAAUUCAAAACAUUAGACUAAUUAUACAAAAAUUAAUGUCCAUAAUAAAAUUGAAAGAAAAGAAAAUAUAUAUUAAAAAUCAUUGUUUUUAAUUUAUUUUUGAAUUAAUAAAUUUUCUUAGGCGAUAUUAAAAUAAUGAAAUAAAUAAAACAAAAUAGACAAUAGAAAUUCAAUCAUAGACAUAUAUAUAUUAUUCUUAAUGAUAAUUUCCUACCGUUUUCUAAAGGUGUUAUUUUUAUAGUAUUUUCAAUAUAAUUUUUAUUAAGAUUUUUACCAUUUUUAAUCAUUAAAUUAGUUUUUAUUUAAUUUUGUUAUGUUUUAUUCAAAAGUUUCCUUAAAUCAUAAUUCACUUGGUCUUAAGAAAAUUUGUAGGAUUUUGGCACAGAAAAGAAGCAAAAUAAAGUAAGAAACUCAGGCUCUGGCACACCCAAGCCGUGCACAUUAGCACGCCCGUGCUAGAGCCAAGGAAAAUCAAGUGAAGAGUCAGACUUUAGCACGCCCGUGCUGAAAUGACCCAGGACUUCCAGAGCCUAGAACGCCUUGACCGUGCUAUGGAGCACGCCCGUGCCACAAUGGAGACAUCAACCCAAGGGCGUGCUUCAGCAAGCACGCCCGUGCUGCAAUUACCCUGGACUUCCAGAGCCUAGCACGCCCUGACCGUGCUAUUGAGCACGCCCGUGCCACAAGACCUUAUUCAAGCGUGCCUCUGAGCACGGCCCGUGCUGAUUCCUCCACAAAGCCAAGUGAUAAGUAUUAUUUUUAUAGUAUUUUUAUUGUGAUUUUUAUUAGAAUUUCCAUUACUUUUAAUUUAUUUAUAUUAGUUUUUAUAUAAUAUUGAUAUGUUUUUAUUUAAAAGUUUCCUUAAAACACAACUUACUUGAUUUUUAAGAAAAAUGUAGGGUUUUGCAAGAAAAGGACAAAAAUAAGGCACAAUAUAAAUUAGCACGCUCAAGCCCGUGCUAAUCAGCACGCCCGUGCUCAAUGCAAGGCAAAACAGGCAGAGGAAGGAGCUGCGCAUGCCCCAGAUAAUGCUGAGCCGCACGCCCGUGCCACAUUUGCCCUGGACUUCCAGAGGCGCGCACGCCUCUGCCCGUGCUAAUGCGCACGCCCGUGCCCGCACUAAAGAUACAGUCCUGACCCGUGCCAAGGAAGCACGCCCGUGCUACAAUUGCGCCAGACUUCCAGAGCCUGGCAUGCCCCAGACUGUGCCAGGCAGCACGCCCGUGCCAAGGAAGAGAUCCUGAAUUUGAGUCAAAAGUUGCCAACUAAUCCCUGCCAUUUUUACAGCCCACUUUGAAUACUUUCUUCACAUGUCAGUCAAGCUUCAAACAUAUGCACAUGAAAAGCCAUAAUUGAGAGAAAUUUAUGGCUUGAUUUAGAGCUUUUCCACCUCACAAAGUUGGACUUUAUUCAUUAAAACAUGUGGAAUGCUCCCCCAAGAUAUCUAUAUAAAGAGAAGAAGAAGCCAUUUCAAAGUCAUCCCAUACUCUACAUCUCUUCUCCCAUCUCUCAUUUUAUAGCUUUGUAUAUAGUUUUAUUCUUUUAGAAGCUAAGUAUUCAAGAGUUGUGCAAAGGUUCAAGGAAGCCAUCCAAGCAAUUGUUAACUAGUUCUUAUUUCUAAACUCUUAAUUUUGUUUAUUUCUUUCAUUAUUCUUAUCAAUUAUGAAAUACUUAUCAAGCAUUAUUGAGUUUUAUUUAAGUGCCAUGUCUAACUAAUUUCUUAUACUAGGGGUUUGAUGUAGCUUAAUCUCUUUUCCAAUUUAUGCAAUUAGAUUUAUUUUUCCUUAUUCAAGUUAUGAUUUAUUGAUAAACUUAAUGCUUCCAGGCAGAGNNNNNNNNNNNNNNNNNNNNNNNNNNNNNNNNNNNNGAAGGGUUUUUGAUAUGAAAAAGGUAAUAAAUUACAUGAGACUAAUAACUUGCUGCGGAAGCUAUAUGGUUUGACUCAUGGGAGGUUUUCAUGAUUUAUCAACCUUAAAUUAUGAAUUCAUAAACAACUACAUAACUUAAUGAUUUGAUUCAUAUUUGAUUGCGCUAUUGGAAAAUAGGUAAUUAAAUGGAAUUAAAAUAGCUAGCAAUACAUCAGAAGAACUUGUUAGUGAAUUCAGAGUUGUUUCUACUACUUGAAUAAUUAAAUUGAUCAAUGAACUAAUGAAAUAAAUUGGAUAAAAUUAAGUGAAAUCAAAACCCCUAGUAGUUUUACUUCCUUGAUUUCUUUAAUCAAUAAUUGCUUGCGACUCUUGUUUAUUUUACAUUUAUAAAACAAUUCACUCAAUUAUCGUUUAAAUAAUAAUGAGAUAACAUAAUCUUGGUACUUGGAUUACAAGUCUCGUGGGAACGAUAUCUUACUCAUCAUAUAUUACUUGUAGCGAUUCGUACACUUGCGAAAUAAGCUGUCAUCAAGAUCCGGCACGCCAGACUGUGCUUCCCGGCACGCCAGACUGUGCUUCCCAGCACGCCCGUGCUAAAGACCAAGAGCUAAUUUAAGUCAAAAAUUGCCAACCAAUUCCCACCAUUUUCAUGAGCUCACCUUGGACACUUUCUUCACAUGCAAAUUAAGUUCAAAUCUAUGCACAUGGGAAAAUCAUGAUUGAGAGAAAUUUAAGGCCUAAAUGAGAACUUUAUUACCUAACAAAGGUGGACUUUAUUCCCUAAACUAUGUGGAUUUCUCUCCCACGAAGUCUAUAUAAAGAGAAGAAAAGUUCAUUGCAAAGCAUCCCAUUCCAUCCUAUCUCAUCUCAGAUCUCUCAUAUAUCUCAUUUUUCUCUUGUACAUAGUUUUAUUUCUUCAAAAGUUCAAGUAUUCAAGAGUUGUGCAAAGGUUCAAGGAAGCCAUCCAGAGCAACUUGUUAACUAGUUCUUAUUUCUAAACUCUUAAUCUUGUUUAUUUCUUUCAUUAUUCUGAUUGAUUAUGGAAUAUUUAUCAAGUAUUAUUGAGUGUUGUUUAAGAACUAUAUCUAACUAAAUUCUCAUACUAGGGAUUUGAUAUAGCUUAAUUUCUUUUUCAAUUUAUAAUAUUAGCUUGGUUUUUCUUUGUUCAAGUUAUCAUUUAUUGAUAAACUUAAUGCUUCCAGGCAAAGUUUCUCCCUCGAAUUGAUUUAUUUCAUUAUUCACUAUCGGAAGAAAGAUUUUUUAUAUGAAAAAGUUAAUGAAUCACAUGAGAAUAAUAACUUGAUGCGGAAGCUAUAUGAUUUGACUCAUGGGGGGUUUUCAUGAAUUAACAACUUUAAUUUAUGAAUUCAUAAACAAACUACAAAACUUACUGAUUUGAUUCAGGUCUGAUUAUGCUAUUGGAAGAUGGGUAGUUAAAUGGAAUUAAAAUAGCUAACAAUACAUCGGAAGAGCUUGUUAGUAAUUUUAGAGUUGUUUCCCCUACUUAAAUGAUUAAAAUUGAUUAAUGAACUAAUAAAAUAAAUUGGAUAGAAUAGGGUGAAAUCAAAAUCCCUAGUAGUUUUAAAUCCUUGAUUUCUUUAAUCAAUAAUUGCCUGCUUGACUUCUUCUUAUUUUCACUUAUUGAAUUUAAAUUAUUGAAACAAUUUCCUCAUUUAUCGUUUAAAUAAUAAUAGGUUAACAUAAUUUUGGUACUUGGUAUACAAUACUCGUGGGAAUGAUAUUCUACUCAUCAUAUAUUACUUGUGGCGAUUUCGUACACUUGCGAAAGCAUUGUCAUUUUCUCUUGUGAUUUAUCAAACUUUUCCUAAUUUGAUGGAGUAAUAGAUAUUAGAAGAGAAAAAAAAUAUAUAUCAAUGUCGAAAAGAAAUUGUAUAAGAUUUAUUGAAAUGCAAAAAAAAAAAUUGAUCUUACCAAAUCUCAUGAGUACCAAAUCUCAAAGAGCGCUAUCUAUUUAUAAUUUAGUAAUAAUCAAUUAAUGACAAUUCAUAUAUUAUCAUUAAAACUAAUAAAGACAACUAUAUGUUGCAAUUUUAAGACAAAUAACUAUUGGUUUGAGAUAAAUGAUAAUUUGGUCAAAUUACCCUUGAGUUUAUUAUAAUUUAAGAAAAUUAAUUGUUUCCUUAAUCCUUUGGACAACAACCUUAGACAACUUAUAUUUUGAGACAGAGGGAGUAUUAUUUUAACAUCAACUACAUAUACAAGCCAUUAUAACUAUAGAGGAAAUGCACUUUCUCAUCAAGCCCUAAACAGCCUUUGGCAAAAGCCAACACAUUAAUUGGCAAGAAAUCUUUCUAUACAUACUAAUAGAUAAAAGCCAAAUAACUAAUUCUUAUGUAUAGAGUAAACUAGCAACAUGUUUGUGCUAUGUACAGUAAAUAUCUUUAUCUAUACUCUUAGAAAUAUUAUGAUAAUAUAUUAAAAUACAUAAUUUAAUUUAAAAAAUUUAUAAUUUAAAUUAUUUUUUAAUUUCAUAUUUAUUAAUUUUAUUGAAAAUUAAUAAAUUAAAGAACAUUUAUUUCAAAUUCAAAACAUUAGACUAAUUAUACAAAAAUUAAUGUUUAUAAUAAAAUUGAAAGAAAAGAAAAUAUAUAUUAAAAAUCAUUGAUUUUAAUUUAUUUUUGAAUUAAUAAAUUUUCUUAGGCUAUAUUAAAAUAAUAAAAUAAAUAAAAUAAAAUAGACAAUAGAAACUCAAUCAUAGACAUACAUAUAUUAUUCUUAAUGAUAAUUUCCUACCGUUUUCUCUUGUGAUUUAUCAAAUUUUUCCUAAUUUGAUGGAGUAAUAGAAAUUAAAAGAGAAAAAAAUAUAUAUCAAUGUCGAAAAGAAAUUGUAUAAGAUUUAUUGAAAUGCAAAAAAAAAAAUUGAUCUUACCAAAUCUCAUGAGAGCGCUAUCUAUUUAUAAUCUAGUAAUAGUCAAUUAAUGGCAAUUCAUAUAUUAUCAUUAAAACUAAUAAAGACAAUUAUAUGUUGCAAUUUUAAGAAAAAUAAAUAUUGAAACGUUUGAAUAUACAUCGUUAAUAAAACUAAUAAUAAAUAUUUUCAUCAUUAAUCUUCUCUAUCAUUCUUUUAAAUAUAAAAUUUUCAGUCAUAAUAAUAAAUGAUAAUUAUGAUUGAUUAUAAUGAUAUUCAAUAUCAAUAUUAUAAUAAUUUUAAUUCAAAAGAUAAGUUAUAAUACAUAUUAAUAUGAUAUUCAAUGUCAAAAUUAUGAUAAUUUUUAAUUAAAAUUAGGUUAUAAUAUUAUAAUAAUUUUAAUUAUUUAAUCCAUAUUCAUAUGAUAAUUAAAUAACAAUUAAAACCAAUAUUAUAUAAUUUUAAUUGAGAAAGAUAGAUUACAAUACUAUAAUAAUUAUAAUUAUUUACUUAUAUGUAUUAAUUAUGAUAAUUGAAUGAUAAUUAAUAUCAAUAUUUAUAUAACACUAUAACUAAUAAUUAAAUUCUAUGCGGUAUUAUCAAAAUUUAAGAGUCCCAUGUGACAUUUUAAUUAUAUGUGUCAUCACCAAAAAUCUUAUGUGGCAAGAAUAGGGGAAGAAAAUUCAUUUAAAAAAUGUCACAUGUCAACUUCUUGGGAAAAAAAAUACUUGCUUUAUAUAUAUAUAUAUAUAUAUUGAUUAUGGUUGGUUUUUUUUUUUUUUAUGUUUGGAAAGAAUAUAUAUUUGAUUCAAGGUGGUUGGUUCAUUCAUUUGGUUUGGUUUGAAAUAACAAUGCUCAUUAUAUUUUCAUUUUUUAUACGCUUUUAAUUUUUUUGUCUAUAUAAUAUUAAAGCAUAAGUUUUUGUUUAGAUUAAAGUAAAUACAAUUGAUUAAUUUGUAUUAGAUUUUAUCGUAUAAGCUACUUGCAAUACUAUUUUUUUAUGUACUUAAUUCUAUUUUAUAUAAUGAAAUGAUCUCAAAGUUCAAUACAUCCCUAGGGAUGGCAAAAUCAGCUCGACCUGAUGGGUAUGCACCUGGCCUAAACCCAGUCAAACCCGAUUUUUAGAGUUUUGACUGAAUUUGGGUAGGGUUUGGGUAAAACCCAAAAGUUUCAUUUUGGAUAUGGAUAGAGUAUGGGUAUUGUUAUUAUAAAUCCAAAUCUGAUCCCCAACCUGACCCGAUCUUUUGGGUUGAAUAAUAUCCAAACCCGAUACCCAAACCCUCAGAGGUUUGAAAAUUAAUUAUUUUCUUCAAAUUGUAGUAUGAAAUAUUUAAUAAAGAAAAAUAAUUGUAAUAUGAAUAAUUUUGAGUUAAUUUGAAUAAUUUAAAUUAUUUUCAAUAAUUUGAAUAAUUCGAAUAAUUUAAAUUAACUUGAAUAAUUUAAAUUUAUUUAAACAAUUUGAAUUUUUCAGAUUUUUUAAAUUUUAGAAUUUUAAAAUUAAUUUACAGUUCAAUAUUUAAUAUUUCAUUUAAAUAAAUAUCUUAUUUUUAAUUUUAUAUUUUAUUCUAUAUAUUAUUCAUUGUAGUUUGAAUUACUAUUUGUUAGAAGAAAACAAAGGAGACUCUAACCAAGAAGAAUUUUUCAAUUUCUCCCAAAAACAAAAACACUUUAUCAAAAGCUUCAACAUAAGUAAUAGUUAGAAUAGAGAGUUAAUUUAUCAAAUAUUUCAAAACAAGUGGUGUCAAGUCAUCCUCGCCUUUUUUGAUUUAUCAGUUGAAGAUUCUACUACUAUUACCCUUCAGCACUUCAUAAAAAUCUUAUAUCAUUUAAAAAAAUAAUUUAAAAAAAAAAAAGAAAGAAAAAGCUACAGGAUGUCUUUUAAGCCUAUCUAGUAAACUAGUUGUUUCUUUAGUAUUUUCAGUAUGAAUGGCUAAAAGUUGGAGAAACAUUGAAUAUAAUGUGGGAAUAAUAUAAAUAUGUAAAUUUGAAAAAAUUGAAAUAGGAAUAAUUAAACCUAUCCUACCCCACAACUUAUCAAGAUAAAGAUUCCAGUUAGUGUGCACUAUGAUUAUUUUAUACUCUCAAUUAGAAUGCAUAAAAUUCUCUCUCUCUCUCUCUCUCUCUCUCUCUUUAUAUUUUUUUUUCUUAAAUGGAUUAUUAAUUAAAACUAAAUACAUUACCACUAAACACAAUAUAAAAAUUAUUAUGCUUUUUAUGAUUAUCAAACAACAUAAUUCCGUUGUCGUCCAGCGGUUAGGAUAUCUGGCUUUCACCCAGGAGACCCGGGUUCGAUUCCCGGCAACGGAAACUUUUUUAAGCACCGGUUUCCUACCCGAAUUAACUGCCACUAGUACAUUUGAUUUCAUUUCAUUGCCACUUUUUAUUGAACGUAUUCUAAUUAUUGCACUUAAAAAAUCAUAUUACAACUUUUAAAAGCCAGCUACAUGAAAAGAAGAAAACCAUAUUACCAUCUCUUCAGUGAACUGCUCUUCUCUCUUAUAUAACCUCUCUUCUUCCCCCAUUUCAAACCGGCACACCGGACAAGUUUUCCGGCACAAAUUGAACCAUCUAUCAAUACAUACCUUAUGAAAAAUAUGCGAGCAAGGAAGAUUACGCAUCUCCUCUCCUCUCUUCAGUACCGAUAAGCAAACACAACAAAUUUCGCCCUCUAUCUUGAACUGAGUUGACUCGCUCGACUUUAUCUCUUCAAGAGACUUAACUGCAUCCUUCUUAGCAUUCUCCGAAACAUCCAACGUAGUAGUUCCUCUGAAUGAUGUUACAUCUUUAAUGCUUAGCUGCCUCCUUAGACCAAUAAAAUUGUAAAUAAAGGAAGCCAAUUUUCUGAAGACCAUUUGAUUUUCUUAAUGGAUGAUUAGCAUUUCUAUUAUAUCUUUAAUAAGAGGAGUUAAGCAAAGAUGAUGGUGUGUGCAAGUUAUGGUUUACUUUUUUUUUUUUUAUUUGUAGUUUUUUUGAGUGGUUUUGAAGAAUUGUUAGAUACAGAGAGACGAUUUUGAGUUUCCAACAAAAAGGAGGUUGUACCAAAACAAGAGUGUUACUCUUCACCUUUUCAUAUUAGUAAAUACCUACCACCUUCACCUAGUAGUAGUCUACUUGGCUUCAUUCUUUCGCUUAGCAGGUUGUCUUCCAAGUCAUAAACCUGCAAUUAUUUCAGUACUAACUAUAUUAUCUACAUAUAAUUUGUUAAUGUAUAAUCUUCAAAAAUAUGAUAACCCGGAAAUCCAGAAUGAGAUUUUUUUUCUUUCAGACCAUCUUUCUAUGAUAUAUUAUUACAAAUAGCAGCACAACCUUCAUGGUGAGAUAUCAUUCGCUCGUUAAACAUUCUUAAUUGCUUGAAAUUAAGAUAGUUCGGACUCAGGAGUUUAAGAGUUUUAUAAAACAUUCUUGAUUUAACAAAACAGAGUGUUAGAACAAACUGAAUGCUGUUCAAUUGGGUUCCUGAAUAGUAAGAAUUAUUGUCUGUCACCAACAAAUGGUGCUCAAGAAUGAACAAAUACAGCCCUUUUUCUGUCAAGUUCUUAUCAACACAUCUGAAUAACAAGAAAGUCUAAUAUCAUUGUUUAUAUUUCAAUGAAUUAAAUAGAUGUGUAUUAAUUAUUAACAGUUGAACUUCACUGCAGCUCAACACUUGAUUGAAACCUCGAAGGUGUGGAGAAGAUGAUUUAUGGCCUCUUAGAGACUGGUUACGAUUCACAUUUCUUUCCCCUUGUAAUAGAACCUGGUUUGUCAUGUUAAAUUCUGUAAAAACUGAAUUCAUAGACUGAAAUGAACAAUUUCUUUCAUAUCAAGCAUGGAAAUACUAAUUCUAAAUCAUCCAUCAAACCUAAAUAGCGCACCAGUUUAAGUCUACUAAAAGGAUCUACCUCCUCCUCUUAGAAUAUAAACAACAAAUUGGCAAAACCGUAAUCCCAACUAGUUAGAGUCGACUGUAUGGAACUGCUUCCUCAUCUCAAAACAUAUGCUAUAAAAACCUCAACAAUUAAAAUAGCAACAACAAUCUCAUCUCCACUCACCUUCCAAUUCCUAAAGAACAAAGCUACUUCAAAAAAGAAAAGAAAGUUUACCUACAUCAAAACAUAAAAUAAGCUCCUCACUGUUAAAAAUCUAAUAACAGACAAAAUUUGAAAUGCAAACAAAAGGAACCUGCUAGAUUUGAAAGCCUUACUUCAACCAUUCAAACCAUUUUCUCACAAUAUGAAGAAAUAUCGGGUAGACAAAAGAAAAUGACUUUGAUCUUGCAUUUCUUGAAAGAACAAGUUUAUCAAAUUCAAAAUUACCUGUUCCUAUAGCAAAUACAUUGUAAUCAAAUCUAAAUUUGAGAUUAUUGACUACCUCAUCAUCACUCCUUACUAAUAACAGAUGAAUCAGCAGCACCAUCAUUUUCAAGAAUUUUUCCAUCUCUUGGAACCAGGCAAGGAACCCCAUCUUUUAUCUAUUAAAAGAGUACAAGCAAGAAAAAACAUUCAAAAAUAGAAAAAGAAAAACAAAAAGAAAAAAGAAGCGUAAUAUUACAGAAGAUUUUAGCAAAACAAUACCCAUUAAGGAAUUUUCAGUAGAAGGUAUAAAAUUUAUCAGAAUUUAGAACUUACAGGAUAAGAGACACCAAUAGCAUCACUGAUAAGAGAGUUCGUUUCCUCACAAUACCUACCAAAAUGAAAGAUCAAAGCUUGAUUUUGGAAAUAGCCAUGAAGAAGAACAAAAAAAAAAGGCAAGAAAAAGAAGAUGAGAUGAAAAAUUGAGCACCUUAAGGGCUGCUUGGAGAGUGGGCAGACCAAAACUUCAAAGAGAGUCUUGUUAAUUCCAUUCCGUGCUUCUUUCAAUAAGGCUCUGUUCAAUCUCACCAUUUUCCGUCCUAAACUUGUGAUUUGCAGAGAUUUUUGGUUGCAAGUAUAAAAAGCCCUCUAAGUUCAAAACGCAGCAUUUUGUUUCUUAUGUUAGUUAAUACGACAACGUUUUAUUCUUGCGUUUUAGUCUAUGUUAUUACUUCAUUCACCCCUUCUUCCUCCCAUGAGACUGAAAAGAGUUCCCUUCCUCCAUGAAAGCCGGAAAACUGAGAGCAUUGGCAUGCGUUAAUGGCUAAAAUCAGAUCCCAAAUGAAUGGCAAAAAUUUCAAUGCGAGACCUCUUCCGAAUCAGACUUGGAAACACCAUUUUCACUCAUCACCGCCGAUCAAUUCUAGUUUCUCCAAAUCAAAACAAUCUCUUUUUAGCUUCAUAUUCAUAUUCUUUCCCUUAUGUCGAAGAUAGACCGUUCUCUAUUUAUCAUCCAAGCAUUGAAUUUGUCAAAUUAUGUCAAAACAGUGGACAUCUCUUUCAAAUUCAAUCUCAGUUGAUCACUUCUGGGCUUUUUCCCUUUUGGUCAGCCAAACUUCUAAAAUAUUAUUCAGAUUUUGGUGAUAUUGAUUCCACCAUUUCGAUCUUUAAAUACAUUGAUUCUCCUGGUCCUGUCGUCGUAAAUAAUGUUAUCAAAGCAUACUCGCUUAGUUCUAUUCCACAACGAGCUUUGCUUUUCUAUUUUGAUAUGGUGGCAAAUGGAUGCUUUCCAAAUAGCUAUACUUUUGUUUCACUCCUUAGUUGUUGUGCCAAAUUAGGUUGCGCCAAAUCUGGGCAAAUGUGCCAUGGGCAAGCUUUGAAGAAUGGGGUUGAUUCUACGUUGCCAGUACAGAACUCAUUGAUUCAUUUUUAUGGGUGCUGCAGUGCUGUGGAACAUGCUACAAAGGUGUUCGAUGAAAUGUCUCAAAGAGAUUUAGUCUCAUGGAAUUCUAUUAUUAGCGCCAAUGUUAGCAGGGGUGAUUUAGUUACUGCUCAUAACAUUUUUGAAGUAAUGCUUGAGAGAAAUGUAAUUUCAUGGAAUAUCAUGAUUAAUGGGUACUUGAAAGUUAAUAAUCCUGGGUGUGCUUUGUUGGUAUUUAGGAAAAUGGCAAAUAGAGGAUUGCAAGGAAAUCUUAAAACUAUGGUAGGUGUGAUUCGUGCUUGUGGUAAGUCAGCCAGGCUGAGAGAAGGACGUUCUGUUCAUGGGUAUCUUAUUAGGAAAUGGAAGAGUUUGAGUAUAUUCAUUUAUACAUCUUUGAUAGAUAUGUAUAGUAAAUGUCGAAGGGUGGAACUAGCUUCGAAAAUUUUUGAUAGUUUGAUGCAUAGAAAUUUGAUUUGCUGGAAUGCAAUGAUUUUGGGUCACUGCAUUCAUGGAAAACCAGAAGAUGGGCUUAAUUUAUUUGCGGAUAUGGUAGAAGCUAUCGAACCAGAUGAAGUUACUUACAUAGGAAUUCUAUCUGCUUGUGCUCGAGCCGGAUUGUUGACAGAGGGCAGAAACUUUUUCAGCCAAAUGACUCAUAAGUAUUGUCUAAAGCCAAAUUUUGCACAUUAUUGGUGCAUGGCUAAUCUUUAUGCAGGUCUUGGCCUAGUUAAUGAUGCAGAGAAUGUACUAAGGAACAUGCCAGUCGACAAUGAGAAUGUCUCACUGGAGUCGAUUGUUUGGGCUAAUUUGCUUACUGUAACCCGUUUCCAAGCAAAUGCUACUUUGGGGGAAAGAGUUGCAAAAUCUCUGAUAGCUAAGGAACCUUGGAAUUUCUCGCACUAUCAGCUGUUAGCGAAUGUCUAUGCUGCAGCAUCCAAGUGGGAAGAUGUUGCUAGAGUAAAAGAGAUGUUGAAAAAAGGACAGAUGCGAAGAAAUCCAGGGUGUAAUCUUGUGGAUUUGAAAAAAAUUGUUCACGAGUAUAGAGUAGGACAUUGUUGGCAAGAGGGAAUUGAUGAAAUGACCAGAAUGAUAGGUGAAGUGGCUGAAAAACCAAUUUCAUGAAUUGCUGAUUUAGAACAGCAAUGAAUGAUGGUGUUGCAGGCUGGAACUUAGCCUCAUGGUCUAAUAUACAGAUGAGAAAACUAGGUAGUAACAUUGAUCCAUUGAAAGAAAAUGUCAUGCGUUAUCAUCUGAUCAUGGAGACUGUUGUAAUAAAAUUUUUCUAGUUGAUUGGCAAAUAUAGUGGUAGGUCAUUUUUGAACACAGACAGAAGUUUUGCGUGCAAGUUCUUCAAGCAGACGCAGUUGAACUUGAGGAACCGUCAAAUUUUGGCUAUUACAAAAAAAGAUUUAUCUUUGAGUAUUGCCAAUAAAUGCUUACUCGAUAUCUUCUCUCUUUCCCUAGUUGUCUUUUGAUAAAGAUAUUUCGUUAUGCUUAUAGAUACACUUGUUCAACUAGACCUCCUCCUAAGUUUGGCAUACUUUCCAGAUGCAAGUUCUAAGUGUGAUUAUAAACACAUUCUAAUUGCAAAACUGCAUUUUUUUUUUCAUAGCUCAUUGGAUGAAAUCAGAAUUAUAAAUCAAGUUUUAAUUUAAUUUAUAAGCAACAGCACACAGGAUCACAAGUCCCGCAAAAUCCUAAAACUGCACAAAUCGCUCGCAAGAACACAAGAGACUGGCAUCAAAAUUUUAGUACGUAAAGACCAUGAUUCAUACAGGCAAUUAACAAAUUGUAGAAAAAUUCCACCAUGAUUGUAGAGAAUUAUAGAGAAUUAAGAAUUUACCUACAAUGAUUCAUAAUAAUUUCCUACAUGCAUGUAUAACUGUGGAGGACAAAAUACAUGUAAAAGGCAAAGACCACUGAAACACAUCUCGUGGAUAACCAGCAGAGAGAUUGAUUACACGCCAGAGAAUCCGAGCAUUAUUUACAUUUAAAUGUGCCCAGAAGUUCAUAACAGUAAUUGAAAUGUGUCCACAAGUUCAGAACAAUGAGUGAAGGGUUAGGUCUAAUCACUGGUCUACAGAUGAGAUAAAGCAACAAAGUUUGUUUAGUAUUUAACCACAUAAUCCACCCAAAAUAUUCCAUAAUUGCUGAUUAAAUAUAGAACCACUUCAUUCAAAUGCCCAUUGGUUCUCCCGACGAAGUUCUUCCUCCUCCUCAGGGGUAAAGUCAUCCUUGAUAUUAAAUAUCUCCCGGAUCUCAUCAGGCGUCUUCCCCUUGAUCAUGUCUGCAACAGUCUGGCACGUCAGGUCCAGCAACCCCUUUAUGUUCAAGUAGUUGGCAGCCUAGAAACAUAAUCAGAUCACCAAAUAAGAAUUUUUGGCCAGGGCCAACAGCCAAACUCAUAUCAACCAGCCUAUAAAAUCAGACUUCAUUUGAAUGCAUGUCAAAAUCCAGAAAAAGAACCCCUUCUAUGUGACAAAUAAAGAUUCGACAUCAUAAUUUAGGAGGACAGCAGUUCUUCUCAUCCCACUUACAGAAGUGAUGCCAAAUUUGUCCAAGAACACAGAAUUAAAGCCAAACUUAUGUUCACAUGUUACAUAUCAAAACAUCUAUGACAUAAAAUAGAGCCCAAUGCUAAAACAUUCGUUGUGACAAUUCAAAAGUUUAAUGGUCAUAUGAAAACUAUAAUGCACUUUAACAGUAAUAUAAAAUAAACUUACGAGAUCAUUAAUUACCAAAAACACUACCAUCAAACCUUAAUCCUAUUAUAGUUAGUAAAGGUAUGCCUUAACUUAGGGCACCUCAAAACUUAGAGGCGGGCGACCUCACUAAGGCGCUUGCCUCUAGGCAGAGGCUCAAGCAAGGCAAGCCUCCCACCUCCCACCCCCCGCCCCCAAAACCAAAAAACACAUACACACAAAACAACCAAAGCCCAAACAGUCACCUAAGGAUUUCCCUCAACAUAAUUAUGUCCAGCUCGCAUCUAUUUACAUAAUAAGUAAAUAAAUAAAAGAAACAAAACAUAAUGCAUAAACCAAUGUUGCGCUCUGCAAUCCAGCCUCCACUCCUCCAUCCAGCAUCUGCUCCUCGCUCACCUCCUGCAAUCCAACCUCCUCUCUCUCUCGCUCCCCUCCUGCAAUCCCACCUCCUCUCUUCCUAUGUUUGCUCUCCAUUUACUUUGUGUUUUUUUCUUUUUCCAUAUGCUGGCUUCUACUCCCUUCUGUCUUAACUCCUAGAUCUUAAAAUAUAAGCCGUUGUGUUGCUGAUCUUUUUCCUUAAUUAUGUUUUUCUGAUUUAUGCAUGUCUUUGUUAUUUUUCCUUUAGUAUCUUUUAAAUAUAAUUUUAGGUUUCAUGUGCGUUUUAAUUGUCCUUUAUUUUUUACCUUUGCGCCUCACGUCACUUAGACACCAGCCUUCCCCCAUGGCAAGAGCCUGGGCUCCAGCAGCCAUUUGCACUUUAGUGCAUCUUUUACCUUUAAUUGCUAUUAAUUCUAUAGAGAUACCAUAACCUGCAAUAUUCCAACAAUAAAAUAUUUAUGUUCCACAGCCAGCAAUCAUUAACCUAAAAAAGAAUUCUCUUUCAUGAAGCAUGAGCAACCAAUAACAACAAUGACAAAGAUGAUGAAAGGUUACAUGCCCAGUACAAAUAAUGGCACAAUAAAUAAACUAAUAUCACUCCAUGAUUCAAGAAAAUUUGUCACAUGAUACGACAGCUAGUCAAUUCAAAAAGAAUUGAACAUUUAACAAUUAAUUCAUAAAUUCAUAAUUGUUUUCAUAUGAACACUUCGCAAAUACAAUCAAGAUAACAUUAGCUGUAUGUUACACUUUAUAACAUAGAGUUAUUAUUUUACCAAUAAGGUCUUCAUGGGCUCCUCUACUAACCUAUUGCAGUUUUACAACUUUGCUAUUAACUUCAAUAAUGACUCGGACAAAUGCACAACAACCAUCUAAGAAACUCCAAGUUCAUGUUUGGUAUGUUGAGAUCGAUCUACAAUUUCAGCCUUUCCUGUGGUCCCUUUAUCAGUUCGUUUUCUCCCCUACCCUAACAAUGUCUAUCCCUUUUUUACUUCUUGCUUUACCUAACAAUGCAUAUCAUCAUUGAUCAAUAAAUGCCCUAUUUUCCAUUUUUGAUAUAAACUAGACCUUACAUAGAUCUAUUUCUGGAUAAAAAAUUAUGAAAUAACUAAAACAAAACACCAAAAUUAGCUAACAUGAUAAUAUAUACUCAUAAAUUUCUGAACAUACCUACCUAAAAUCCCUUUGAAAAGAAGCCAUAACUUAAAUCAAUCUAACUAUACAGAAAAACGCAGAAGAAAUCCUAAACAUAAUUGAAAAGGCCACAAAUGAAUCAAGAAGGAACAGAUCUAACAAAAACGGCAAAAAAGAAAAGGGUGAAGUAUCGACCAGAAUGAGAUCAAACAGGGUGGCUUGAUCAACUUUGACAAACUCAGCGUCCCAGUUCUUAAGCUCAUCAUCUGCGCCGCCGUUGCUCCGAUCAUCGUACUUGGGAGUCUCGACGUGCUUCUUGCAGUACUCAAUCACCUUAGCCAAGAUCUUGCUUGUCACAUUAGGCAGAGGGAUUCCGUUAUCGGCGCAAUCAUCCUCGAUCAUGGGCUUGAUCGUUUGCGAUUCCAAAGCCACCGCCUCAUCCACCUCAAACGCCUCUCCAUCGAUGCUCUUCAGGGUAAUCUUCUUUGACGUCGACAUCGUUUUGGAUGCAGCAAUUCUCUAGACAAUAGAAAACGACAACGAAAAACGAGCCUCCGUACGGUUCUCUGGCGUUAUAAGGUUCAAUUUCUCUGCCAGAAACCAAGGAAAACAAAAUAGUUGGUGAACCGAAGAAUCGCGAUAAUUUCAAUUUACAGGGCGAGUGAAACAAUUUGGGGUGAAGAUGAUCAUACGUAGCAUAUUUUAUUUGGGAUAAUGUACACCGUCUACGUGUCAAUAAAUUAUUUGAUUUUGUUUUUUUAUAACAAAUCAGAUUUUUUUACAGGGAUAAUAGUAAAGAACUGGGCGUAAUCGGUAAACGGAUUAUUAUGUUUUGGACAAUUACAAAAUAACCCCUACUUUUGCCCUUUGUAUACAAUAUUGUCCUUUCGUUCUUAUUUUUUGUAAUUAUUCUUUGUAUAUUUUAAGGAAGAAACUGUUGAAAAAAUGAGUUCCAGACGAUCUAAUUGCAAUCUACAAUUAAGAGUGCCUUUUAGAUACUGCCACGUAAAGUGUUUGACAACUUUGCAUUUCAUUCGUGAACUGGCAUGUGAAAUUCACAGCAAAAGAUAAAUAAGUAAUUUGCUUUUUAAUUAAGUGCUUUUAACGGGUUUUCAUUAAUUUAAUAAAUUAAAACAGAGAAAGAGUUUUAAUUGUAGCACAUGAUUUUAUUUUCGACUAUUGAGAUUAAAAAUAAAGUAAAUUUAGUUUUAGAAUUACAAAAUUACAAAUUAUGAUUUUAAUUAUAUCUUAAUUGAUAAAACUUAUAAUGAAUUGAAAAUAAAUAUUACUACUGUUAUUUUGAAUUGAAUCCCGAUGGCCAAUUCCAUAGGUGAUGUUAUAAAUAAAUUUAAAAUUAUUAGUCAAAUCCCCUUAAAUGCAUUCUUAAAAAAAAAUAAUAAUAAAAAUAUACGAUCAAUAAAUGGUCAAAUUAUUAUAUUUUUAAUGGUCAAAUUAUUAUAUUUUUUUUCGGAUCUAUUACCAGAUUAUAUAAAAUAAAAUAUAUACAAUAAAUAACAUUGUAAUAGUCACAAAUUAUAUAAAAUAUGUCUUGAGAGGUAGGUCACAAAAUAAACAACACUUACUGUUGGACUCUGUGCACAAUUACCAUUACACAUUAUAAUGGUCACAAAUUAUACUUGAGAGAAGCCUUUUUCUCAGUAAUUUCCUUAACAGUUUUUUCACCUAGAAGCACACUCACCACAUCAGAUAUUGAAGGCCUAUUGGAGGGCAAUUUUUCAGUGCACAACAUUGCCAAAUCAAUAAUGGUGAUGGCUUGGUUUCGUGUUGUUGAUAAUAGUUUCCCUGACGGACGCUCUUUCAAUGUCUGAUAGACUAGUUCUUCGUAUAUUUUUUGUUUAUAACAUUUAUCGGCCUAUAUAAAUGCAAUACCUUAUCAGAAAGCGAUGCAAAUUAAUAUGGAAAUGCAUAUAUAUUAACAUGGAAAAGGAUGAAUUUACCUUUUCCAAAAGAUAAAAGCUACCGUUAUGAUCUCCGAGAUUUUGAUCAAUCUUUAUCCCACUAACAAUUUCAAGAAGCAAGAGGCCCAAGCUAUAAACAUCAACUCUCACAGUUAUGUUUUGAUGAGAUGCGUAUUUGGGUGCCAUGUACAUUCUGCAUAUAUGCAACAAUGAGAAAUUUUCUUGAAACUAAUUUAUCGAAUAGAAGAAUUUUGUGUUUUCUUAAUACUUACAGUGUGCUACCUGCUUUAGUGAACAUAAAUGGAUCAUCUUCCUCAUAAAGUUUUGCCAAUCCAAAGUCUGAGAUUUUGGCCUCACAAUUUCCAUCAAGAAGAAUAUUACUGGCCUUGGUAUUUCUGUGGAUGAUGGGUGGCUCCUUUUUAUGCAGAUGUUCCAAACCGAGGGCUAUUUGUUGGCAAAUACUGUAUCUAGUUUCCCAACUAAGUUGCAGAGAACGAUUAGGACCUGCAUGCAAAUAUAAUUGAAUCAUCAAACUAUAAAAUUAAUUUGAAAUGGUAGCGAGGUCUUAGGAUAAAAGAAAAAAUAUUCCCAAAUAAGACUUGCUCAAGUGAUCCGUUAUCCAUAUAUUCAUAAAUUAGCAAAUGAAGGCCUCUCUUUGAAUAAGAACCUAACAGUUUAACAAGAUUCUGAUUUUCCACCUUAGACAAUGCAAAAACCUCUGCUCCUAUUUCUGCAGCUGCCUUUGAUUGAGGGAAAAGCUUCUUCACCGCUAAGGUCAAAUUCGACAGUUGAGCCUAUAAUAUGGAUAAUGGAAGGAGAAGAAGAAGAAGAAAAGAAAAAGAAGAAUUAAUGUAUGGACAUGAGU
Molecule: long non-coding RNA, 27355 nt
Filed under: Jatropha curcas
Lineage: Eukaryota; Viridiplantae; Streptophyta; Magnoliopsida; Malpighiales; Euphorbiaceae
Description: long non-coding RNA (JCUR_LNC003051)
Rfam family: tRNA (bases 16905-16976)
Source: RNAcentral